CUUUUCAGCUAGAGUAUGAUAGAGGAAAGCAGAAUUUCUAGUGUAGAGGUGAAAUUCGUAGAUAUUAGAAAGAAUACCAAUUGCGAAGGCAGCUUUCUGGAUCAUUACUGACACUGAGGAACGAAAGCAUGGGUAGCGAAGAGGAUUAGAUACCCUCGUAGUCCAUGCCGUAAACGAUGUGUGUUAGACGUUGGAAAUUUAUUUUCAGUGUCGCAGGGAAACCGAUAAACACACCGCCUGGGGAGUACAACCGCAAGGUUAAAACUCAAAUGAAUUGACGGGGACCCGCACAAGUAGUGGAGCAUGUGGUUUAAUUCGAAGAUACGCGCAGAACCUUACCAACACUUGACAUGUUCGUCGCGACUCUAAGAGAUUAGAGUUUUCGGUUCGGCCGGACGAAACACAGGUGCUGCAUGGCUGUCGUCAGCUCGCGUCGUGAGAUGUUGGGUUAAGUCCCGCAACGAGCGCAACCCUCACUUUUAGUUGCCAUCAUUAAGUUGGGCACUCUGAAAGAACUGCCAGUGAUAAGCUGGAGGAAGGUGGGGAUGACGUCAAGUCCUCAUGGCCCUUACGUGUUGGGCUACACACGUGCUACAAUGGCAUCUACAACAGGAAGCAAAACGGCAACGUCUAGCAAAUCCCGAAAAGAUGCCUCAGUUCGGAUUGCACUCUGCAACUCGAGUGCAUGAAGCUGGAAUUACUAGUAAUCGUGGAUCAGCGUGCCACGGUGAAUGCGUUCCCGGGUCUUGUACACACCGCCCGUCACACCAUGGGAGUUGGUUCUACCUUAAGGCAAGGUUUCAAACCCUUGACCACGGUAUAGUCAGCGACUGGGGUGAAGUCGUAACAAGGUAACCGUA
RNAcentral lists this ribosomal RNA (860 nucleotides) under uncultured bacterium. RNAcentral describes it as "bacterial SSU rRNA". It matches the Rfam family "Bacterial small subunit ribosomal RNA", at positions 633 to 1504 of the family's 1533-position model. The record is from RNAcentral.